This 438-nucleotide ribosomal RNA is filed under the name uncultured bacterium. Its description in RNAcentral is "bacterial SSU rRNA". It matches the Rfam family "Bacterial small subunit ribosomal RNA", at positions 339 to 794 of the family's 1533-position model. The record is from RNAcentral.
GUACGGGAGGCAGCAGUUGGGAAUCUUCGGCAAUGGGCGAAAGCCUGACCGAGCAACGCCGCGUGAGGGAUGAAGGCCUUCGGGUUGUAAACCUCUGUCUAGUGGAAAGAUAAUGACGGUACCACUGGAGGAAGCUACGGCUAACUACGUGCCAGCAGCCGCGGUAAUACGUAGGUAGCGAGCGUUGUCCGGAAUUAUUGGGCGUAAAGGGCGCGCAGGUGGUUUUUUAAGUCAGAUGUGAAAACUCCGGGCUUAACUUGGAGAUUGCAUUUGAAACUGGAAGACUUGAGGACAGGAGAGGAAAGCGGAAUUCCCAGUGUAGCGGUGAAAUGCGUAGAGAUUGGGAAGAACACCAGUGGCGAAGGCGGCUUUCUGGACUGCCCCUGACACUGAGGCGCGAAAGCUAGGGGAGCGAACGGGAUUAGAUACCCUGGUAGG